AACGCUGGCGGCGUGCCUAAUACAUGCAAGUCGAGCGAGCGGAACUAACAGAUUUACUUCGGUAAUGACGUUAGGAAAGCGAGCGGCGGAUGGGUGAGUAACACGUGGGGAACCUGCCCCAUAGUCUGGGAUACCACUUGGAAACAGGUGCUAAUACCGGAUAAGAAAGCAGAUCGCAUGAUCAGCUUUUAAAAGGCGGCGUAAGCUGUCGCUAUGGGAUGGCCCCGCGGUGCAUUAGCUAGUUGGUAAGGUAAAGGCUUACCAAGGCGAUGAUGCAUAGCCGAGUUGAGAGACUGAUCGGCCACAUUGGGACUGAGACACGGCCCAAACUCCUACGGGAGGCAGCAGUAGGGAAUCUUCCACAAUGGACGCAAGUCUGAUGGAGCAACGCCGCGUGAGUGAAGAAGGUUUUCGGAUCGUAAAGCUCUGUUGUUGGUGAAGAAGGAUAGAGGUAGUAACUGGCCUUUAUUUGACGGUAAUCAACCAGAAAGUCACGGCUAACUACGUGCCAGCAGCCGCGGUAAUACGUAGGUGGCAAGCGUUGUCCGGAUUUAUUGGGCGUAAAGCGAGCGCAGGCGGAAGAAUAAGUCUGAUGUGAAAGCCCUCGGCUUAACCGAGGAACUGCAUCGGAAACUGUUUUUCUUGAGUGCAGAAGAGGAGAGUGGAACUCCAUGUGUAGCGGUGGAAUGCGUAGAUAUAUGGAAGAACACCAGUGGCGAAGGCGGCUCUCUGGUCUGCAACUGACGCUGAGGCUCGAAAGCAUGGGUAGCGAACAGGAUUAGAUACCCUGGUAGUCCAUGCCGUAAACGAUGAGUGCUAAGUGUUGGGAGGUUUCCGCCUCUCAGUGCUGCAGCUAACGCAUUAAGCACUCCGCCUGGGGAGUACGACCGCAAGGUUGAAACUCAAAGGAAUUGACGGGGGCCCGCACAAGCGGUGGAGCAUGUGGUUUAAUUCGAAGCAACGCGAAGAACCUUACCAGGUCUUGACAUCUAGUGUCAUUUGUAGAGAUACAAAGUUCCCUUCGGGGACGCUAAGACAGGUGGUGCAUGGCUGUCGUCAGCUCGUGUCGUGAGAUGUUGGGUUAAGUCCCGCAACGAGCGCAACCCUUGUUAUUAGUUGCCAGCAUUAAGUUGGGCACUCUAAUGAGACUGCCGGUGACAAACCGGAGGAAGGUGGGGAUGACGUCAAGUCAUCAUGCCCCUUAUGACCUGGGCUACACACGUGCUACAAUGGGCGGUACAACGAGAAGCGAGCCUGCGAAGGCAAGCGAAUCUCUGAAAGCUGUUCUCAGUUCGGACUGCAGUCUGCAACUCGACUGCACGAAGCUGGAAUCGCUAGUAAUCGCGGAUCAGCACGCCGCGGUGAAUACGUUCCCGGGCCUUGUACACACCGCCCGUCACACCAUGGGAGUCUGCAAUGCCCAAAGCCGGUGGCCUAACCUUCGGGAAGGAGCCGUCUAAGGCAGGGCAGAUGACUGGGGUGAA
RNAcentral lists this ribosomal RNA (1484 nucleotides) under uncultured organism. RNAcentral describes it as "SSU rRNA". It matches the Rfam family "Bacterial small subunit ribosomal RNA". The record is from RNAcentral.